UACAGAGGGUGCGAGCGUUAAUCGGAAUUACUGGGCGUAAAGCGUGCGUAGACGGUAGCGUAAGUCAGAUGUGAAAGCCCCGGGCUCAACCUGGGAACUGCAUUUGAGACUGCUCUGCUCGGGUGCGGAAGAGGGAAGCGGAAUUUCCGGUGUAGCGGUGAAAUGCGUAGAUAUCAGGAGGAACACCGGUGGCGAAGGCGGGUCUCUGGGCCGUUACUGACGCUGAGGAGCGAAAGCGUGGGGAGCGAACAGG
RNAcentral lists this ribosomal RNA (253 nucleotides) under uncultured bacterium. Its description in RNAcentral is "partial 16S ribosomal RNA". It matches the Rfam family "Bacterial small subunit ribosomal RNA", at positions 524 to 776 of the family's 1533-position model. The record is from RNAcentral.